Molecule: long non-coding RNA, 354 nt
Filed under: Equus caballus (horse)
Lineage: Eukaryota; Metazoa; Chordata; Mammalia; Perissodactyla; Equidae
Description: lncRNA (ENSECAG00000051483.1)
Source: RNAcentral
AGACAAGAAUAAAGUGAAUCACCAGGACUAGCCCACACUCACGGGGGGAAGGAUUUACAAGGACUUGAAAACCAGGAGGUGUGAAUUAUUUGGGUCCAUCUUAGACAUUGUCUACCACAGAAUUGCAGAAAAAAAGAUUUGGCUAAUCUGAAUGAGGUUUUCAGUCCUGAGCACCUGGUUGAAGAGUGGGGAAAUUUACCAAGAUGACAAACCUAUAUAUAGAACAAGGAAGACUUACUCCUGGCAGCUGGUUUGACUAAUUGUCUGAUUGAUACCUGCUUGCACACAAUAAUAUUCACGGUUCAUUAAAAGUGAAAGCAUGACAGCACAUUCUGUUUGUGAGGCUGGGGGAAC